UAUCGACGGCGGUGUUUGGCACCUCGAUGUCGGCUCAUCACAUCCUGGGGCUGAAGUAGGUCCCAAGGGUAUGGCUGUUCGCCAUUUAAAGUGGUACGCGAGCUGGGUUUAGAACGUCGUGAGACAGUUCGGUCCCUAUCUGCCGUGGGCGUUGGAAGAUUGAGAGGGGUUGCUCCUAGUACGAGAGGACCGGAGUGAACGCACCACUGGUGUUCGGGUUGUCAUGCCAAUGGCAUUGCCCGGUAGCUAAGUGCGGAAAAGAUAAGCGCUGAAAGCAUCUAAGCGCGAAACUUGCCUCAAGAUGAGUCUUCCCUGGGCCUUUAAGGCCCCUGAAGGAACGUUUAAGACUAAGACGUUGAUAGGCUGGGUGUGUAAGUGCAGCGAUGCAUUGAGCUAACCAGUACUAAUGAUCCGUGAGGCUUAACCUU
Molecule: ribosomal RNA, 428 nt
Filed under: Acinetobacter baumannii
Lineage: Bacteria; Pseudomonadati; Pseudomonadota; Gammaproteobacteria; Moraxellales; Moraxellaceae
Description: partial 23S ribosomal RNA
Rfam family: Bacterial large subunit ribosomal RNA
Source: RNAcentral